GACGAACGCUGGCGGCGUGCUUAACACAUGCAAGUCGAACGGUGAUCCCGGUGCUUGCACCGGGGGAUCAGUGGCGAACGGGUGAGUAACACGUGAGCAACCUGCCCCUGACUUCGGGAUAACUUCGAGAAAUCGGAGCUAAUACCGGAUAUGACCUGCGCGGGCAUCCGUGUGGGUGGAAAGAUUUAUCGGUUGGGGAUGGGCUCGCGGCCUAUCAGCUUGUUGGUGGGGUGAUGGCCUACCAAGGCGACGACGGGUAGCCGGCCUGAGAGGGCGACCGGCCACACUGGGACUGAGACACGGCCCAGACGCCUACGGGAGGCAGCAGUGGGGAAUAUUGCUCAAUGGGCGCAAGCCUGAAGCAGCGACGCCGCGUGAGGGAUGAAGGCCUUCGGGUUGUAAACCUCUUUCAGCGCCGAAGAAGCGAAAGUGACGGUAGGCGCAGAAGAAGCACCGGCUAACUACGUGC
This 469-nucleotide ribosomal RNA is filed under the name uncultured bacterium. RNAcentral describes it as "bacterial SSU rRNA". It matches the Rfam family "Bacterial small subunit ribosomal RNA", at positions 28 to 508 of the family's 1533-position model. The record is from RNAcentral.